GACGAACGCUGGCGGCGUGCCUAAUACAUGCAAGUAGAACGCUGAAGGAGGAGCUUGCUCUUCUGGAUGAGUUGCGAACGGGUGAGUAACGCGUAGGUAACCUGCCUGGUAGCGGGGGAUAACUAUUGGAAACGAUAGCUAAUACCGCAUAACAGUAGAUGUUGCAUGACAUUUGCUUAAAAGGUGCAAUUGCCCCACUACCAGAUGGCCCUGCGUUGUAUUAGCUAGUUGGUGGGGUAACGGCUCACCAAGGCGACGAUACAGAGCCGACCUGAGAGGGGUAUCCGCCACCACGGGACUGGGGCCCCGCCCCGACUCCUUCGGGAGGCCGCAGUAGGGGAUCUUCGGCAAUGGACGGAAGUCUGACCGAGCAACGCCGCGUGAGUGAAGAAGGUUUUCGGGUCGUAAAGCUCUGUUGUAAGAGAAGAACGAGUGUGAGAGUGGAAAGUUCACACUGUGACGGUAUCUUACCAGAAAGGGACGGCUAACUACGUG
Molecule: ribosomal RNA, 495 nt
Filed under: uncultured bacterium
Lineage: Bacteria
Description: partial 16S ribosomal RNA
Rfam family: Bacterial small subunit ribosomal RNA
Source: RNAcentral